RNAcentral lists this ribosomal RNA (241 nucleotides) under Halalkalibacter oceani. RNAcentral describes it as "partial 16S ribosomal RNA". It matches the Rfam family "Bacterial small subunit ribosomal RNA", at positions 87 to 321 of the family's 1533-position model. The record is from RNAcentral. Lineage: Bacteria; Bacillati; Bacillota; Bacilli; Caryophanales; Bacillaceae.
UGGAUCCAGCGGCGAACGGGUGAGUAACACGUGGGCAACCUGCCCCUCAGACUGGGAGAACAUCGAGAAAUCGGUGCAAAUACCGGAUAAUUUUCGGGAUCGCAUGAUCCCGUUAUAAAAGAUGGCUUCGGCUAUCACUGGGGGAUGGGCCCGCGGCGCAUUAGCUAGUUGGUGAGGUAGAGGCUCACCAAGGCGACGAUGCGUAGCCGACCUGAGAGGGUGAUCGGCCACACUGGGACUG